UGGGGAAUUUUGGACAAUGGGCGCAAGCCUGAUCCAGCAAUGCCGCGUGCAGGAAGAAGGCCUUCGGGUUGUAAACUGCUUUUGUCAGGGAAGAAAUCUUCUGGGCUAAUACCCCGGGAGGAUGACGGUACCUGAAGAAUAAGCACCGGCUAACUACGUGCCAGCAGCCGCGGUAAUACGUAGGGUGCGAGCGUUAAUCGGAAUUACUGGGCGUAAAGCGUGCGCAGGCGGCUUUGCAAGACAGAUGUGAAAUCCCCGGGCUCAACCUGGGAACUGCAUUUGUGACUGCAAGGCUAGAGUACGGCAGAGGGGGAUGGAAUUCCGCGUGUAGCAGUGAAAUGCGUAGAUAUGCGGAGGAACACCAAUGGCGAAGGCAAUCCCCUGGGCCUGUACUGACGCUCAUGCACGAAAGCGUGGGGAGCAAACA
Molecule: ribosomal RNA, 427 nt
Filed under: uncultured prokaryote
Description: bacterial SSU rRNA
Rfam family: Bacterial small subunit ribosomal RNA
Source: RNAcentral